Molecule: ribosomal RNA, 497 nt
Filed under: uncultured bacterium
Lineage: Bacteria
Description: partial 16S ribosomal RNA
Rfam family: Bacterial small subunit ribosomal RNA
Source: RNAcentral
GAUGAACGCUGGCGGCGUGCCUAAUACAUGCAAGUCGAGCGAACGGACGAGAAGCUUGCUUCUCUGAUGUUAGCGGCGGACGGGUGAGUAACACGUGGAUAACCUACCUAUAAGGCUGGGAUAACUUCGGGAAACCGGAGCUAAUACCGGAUAAUAUUUUGAACCGCAUGGUUCAAAAGUGAAAGACGGUCUUGCUGUCACUAAUAGAUGGAUCCGCGCUGCAUUAGCUAGUUGGUAAGGUAACGGCUUACCAAGGCAACGAUGCAUAGCCGACCUGAGAGGGUGAUCGGCCACACUGGAACUGAGACACGGUCCAGACUCCUACGGGAGGCAGCAGUAGGGAAUCUUCCGCAAUGGGCGAAAGCCUGACGGAGCAACGCCGCGUGAGUGAUGAAGGUCUUCGGAUCGUAAAACUCUGUUAUUAGGGAAGAACAUAUGUGUAAGUAGCUGUGCACAUCUUGACGGUACCUAAUCAGAAAGCCACGGCUAACUACGUG